RNAcentral lists this ribosomal RNA (253 nucleotides) under uncultured bacterium. RNAcentral describes it as "partial 16S ribosomal RNA". It matches the Rfam family "Bacterial small subunit ribosomal RNA", at positions 524 to 776 of the family's 1533-position model. The record is from RNAcentral.
UACGUAGGGACCGAGCGUUGUCCGGAAUCAUUGGGCGUAAAGAGCGUGUAGGCGGCUUGCUAAGUCUUGCGUGAAAUCUCGGGGCUCAACCCCGAGCGGUCGUGGGAAACUGGCAGGCUAGAGUGCGGGAGAGGAGAAUGGAAUUCCUGGUGUAGCGGUGAAAUGCGUAGAUAUCGAGAGGAACACCUGCGGCGAAGGCGGGUUGCUGGGCUGACACUGACGCUGAAGUGCGAAAGCUAGGGGAACGAACGGG